This 397-nucleotide ribosomal RNA is filed under the name uncultured sheep rumen methanogen clone 10. RNAcentral describes it as "bacterial SSU rRNA". It matches the Rfam family "Archaeal small subunit ribosomal RNA", at positions 1032 to 1427 of the family's 1478-position model. The record is from RNAcentral. Lineage: Archaea; Methanobacteriati; Methanobacteriota; Methanomicrobia; Methanomicrobiales; Methanomicrobiaceae.
AGUCAGGCAACGAGCGAGACCCACGCCUUUAGUUACCAGCUUAUCCUUUUUUGGAUGAUGGGCACACUAGGGGGACCGCCUAUGAUAAAUAGGAGGAAGGAGUGGAUGACGGUAGGUCCGUAUGCCCCGAAUCCUCUGGGCAACACGCGGGNUACAAUGGNUGAGACAAUGGGUUCCGACACCGAAAGGUGGAGGUAAUCCUCUAAACUUAGUCGUAGUUCGGAUUGAGGACUGUAACUCGUUCUCAUGAAGNUGGAAUGCGUAGUAAUCGCGUAUCACUAUUGCGCGGUGAAUACGUCCCUGCUCCUUGCACACACCGCCCGUCACACCACCCAAAAAGGGCUUGGAUGAGGAUGUAAUGUUUUUGUUAUAUUCGAAUCUAGUUUUUUAAGGAGGU